This 1518-nucleotide long non-coding RNA is filed under the name Canis lupus familiaris (dog). Its description in RNAcentral is "lncRNA (ENSCAFG00000056592.1)". Lineage: Eukaryota; Metazoa; Chordata; Mammalia; Carnivora; Canidae. The record is from RNAcentral.
UCAUGUCAACCCUGACAGGAACCCCGUCCUCCUCAGGACCAGCACUUUGGCUUCAGGACAUAUGGGGCUGCGUCUAUGCUGACAGGAGCCCACAGCCCCCUCAGGACCCACGGUGAGUUUUCUGGGGGCCAUGGGGCCAUGUCCAGGCUGACAGGAGCCCCCGGCUUCCUGAGGACCUGCUGUGACGCUUUAGAGAAUGUGAGACAUAGUCCACAGUGACAGGAGACCCGGCGUCCUCAGGACCCGCUGACUAUGACUCAGGAACACGUUGGGCCAUGUCCACACUCACAGGAGCCCGGCUUGCUUGGACCCCCUGGAGGACUCUGGAGGAGCCGUUGGGGGCCACGUCUACAUCAGAAGGGACUCCUCAGAACCACAUGGAGCCCACAGCCCCCUCAGGACCCGCGGUGAGUUUUCUGGGGGCCAUGGGGCCAUGUCCAGGCUUACAGGAGCCCUCGGCCUCCUGAGGACCUGCUGUGAGACUUCCAGAGGAUGUGAGGCAUAGUCCACAGUGCCAGGAGACCCGGCGUCCUCAGGACCCGCUGACUAUGACUCAGGAACACGUGGGGCCAUGUCGACACUCACAGGAUCCUGGCUUCCGCAGGACCCCCUGGAGGACUCUGGAGGCGCCAUUGUGGGCCACGUCCACAUCAGAAAGGACUACUCAGAACCACAGGGUAAGUGAAUGUGUAGAAUGAAUGGUAGGGUCAGGGGAGGUGAGGCAGUUGGUGGUUAAGUUAGGUUAGAUGUUAGGGUUUAGUGAUUAUGCUUAUGGUUACGGAUUAGAGGAUAGCGUGAGGGAUAAGGGUAAAUGUGACUGGUUAGGAGUUGGAUGGGGGUUAGGGAUUAGGGAAAGGGGUUAGGGUUAGUGUUAGGGACAGGAUUUAGAGUUAGGGUUAGGGUUUAGGCUUAGGGAUUAGGGCAGGAUGUUAGGAUUUGGGGUUAGGGUUAUGGUUAGUGUUAGGGUUGUGAUUAGGUUUGCGGUUAGGGGUUAGGGAGUGAGUUAGGGUUAGUUGUUAGGGUUAGGGGUUAGGGUUAAAGUUAGUGCUAAGUUUAGAGUUAGGGUGAGUGGUAAGGUUAGGUUAGGGGUUAGGAUUAGGGUUAGUGUUUGGUUAGGGGUAAUGGUCAGGUCAGGGUCAGGGUAGGGUCAGUGUACGGUUUUGGAAAAGGAUAAGGGAUAGGGUUAGGCAGUGGGUUAGGGGUUAGUUUUAGGGUACGGGUUAGGGUACAGUUUGGGGUAUGAGAUAGGAUUAGUAUUAGAGGGUUAGGGUUAGGGUACAGGAUAAGGUUAAGAAUAGGAUUUGAAUACAUUAAGUUAAGGUUAGGGUUAGAGUUUAGGGUUAGGGUUAGAUUUAAGGUAGGGGUCAGGGUUAAGGAAACCUAAGAAUAGGUUUAGGAGUUAGGGUGAGGCUUGGCAGGUAGGUUCAGUGAAUGUGUUCGGUCUUGGGGUUUGUGUUUGGUUUUUGAUUAGUGAUAGGUCUUGUUUAAGGUUUAGGUUAACAUUAGGCUUAAAUGUAG